RNAcentral lists this small nuclear RNA (103 nucleotides) under Olea europaea subsp. europaea. The record is from RNAcentral. Lineage: Eukaryota; Viridiplantae; Streptophyta; Magnoliopsida; Lamiales; Oleaceae.
GUCUUUAUCUGGGCCACCGGAUAAAAUCGAAACGAUAUGGCGAAGAUUUGCAUGGCCCUUGUGCAAAGAUGACGCGACACACCCAAAAUAAUAACAAAGAAAC